Transfer RNA from Candida albicans SC5314, 72 nucleotides. It matches the Rfam family "tRNA". From Rfam's summary of the family: Transfer RNA (tRNA) molecules are approximately 80 nucleotides in length. Their secondary structure includes four short double-helical elements and three loops (D, anti-codon, and T loops). Lineage: Eukaryota; Fungi; Ascomycota; Pichiomycetes; Serinales; Debaryomycetaceae. The record is from Rfam.
GGUUUAGUGGUGUAGCGGUAUCACGUUUCCUUCACACGGAAAAGGUCUCGAGUUCGAUCCUCGGCUAGAUCA